GCAUAUCAAUAAGCGGAGGAAAAGAAACCAACAGGGAUUGCCCUAGUAACGGCGAGUGAAGCGGCAACAGCUCAAAUUUGAAAUCUGGCUCUCGGGCCCGAGUUGUAAUUUGUAGAGGAUACUUUUGAUGCGGUGCCUUCCGAGUUCCCUGGAACGGGACGCCAUAGAGGGUGAGAGCCCCGUCUGGUUGGAUGCCAAAUCUCUGUAAAGUUCCUUCGACGAGUCGAGUAGUUUGGGAAUGCUGCUCUAAAUGGGAGGUAUAUGUCUUCUAAAGCUAAAUACCGGCCAGAGACCGAUAGCGCACAAGUAGAGUGAUCGAAAGAUGAAAAGCACUUUGAAAAGAGAGUUAAAAAGUACGUGAAAUUGUUGAAAGGGAAGCGUUUAUGACCAGACUUGGGCUUGGUUAAUCAUCUGGGGUUCUCCCCAGUGCACUUUUCCAGUCCAGGCCAGCAUCAGUUUUCCCCGGGGGAUAAAGACUUCGGGAAUGUGGCUCUCUUCGGGGAGUGUUAUAGCCCGUUGUGUAAUACCCUGGGGGGGACUGAGGUUCGCGCAUCUGCAAGGAUGCUGGCGUAAUGGUCAUCAACGACCCGUCUUGAAACACGGACCAAGGAGUCGUCUUCGUAUGCGAGUGUUCGGGUGUCAAACCCCUACGCGUAAUGAAAGUGAACGCAGGUGAGAGCUUCGGCGCAUCAUCGACCGAUCCUGAUGUUCUCGGAUGGAUUUGAGUAAGAGCAUACGGGGCCGGACCCGAAAGAAGGUGAACUAUGCCUGUAUAGGGUGAAGCCAGAGGAAACUCUGGUGGAGGCUCGCAGCGGUUCUGACGUGCAAAUCGAUCGUCAAAUAUGGGCAUGGGGGCGAAAGACUAAUCGAACCUUCUAGUAGCUGGUUUCCGCCGA
Molecule: ribosomal RNA, 896 nt
Filed under: Fusarium fujikuroi
Lineage: Eukaryota; Fungi; Ascomycota; Sordariomycetes; Hypocreales; Nectriaceae
Also listed under: 2 other names
Description: LSU rRNA
Rfam family: Eukaryotic large subunit ribosomal RNA
Source: RNAcentral